AAACUUUCAACAACGGAUCUCUUGGUUCCAGCAUCGAUGAAGAACGCAGCGAAAUGCGAUAGCUAGUGUGAAUUGCAGAUUUAUGUGAAUCAUCGAGUCUUUGAACGCACAUUGCGCCCCUUGGCUUGCCAGGGGGCAUGUCUAUCUGAGCGUCGUUA
Molecule: ribosomal RNA, 158 nt
Filed under: Pseudovirgaria hyperparasitica
Lineage: Eukaryota; Fungi; Ascomycota; Dothideomycetes; Acrospermales; Acrospermaceae
Also listed under: 1 other name
Description: 5.8S ribosomal RNA
Rfam family: 5.8S ribosomal RNA
About the family: 5.8S ribosomal RNA (5.8S rRNA) is a component of the large subunit of the eukaryotic ribosome. It is transcribed by RNA polymerase I as part of the 45S precursor that also contains 18S and 28S rRNA.
Source: RNAcentral